UACGGGGGGAGCAAGCGUUGUUCGGAUUUACUGGGCGUAAAGGGCGCGUAGGCGGUCGUGACAAGUCACUUGUGAAAUCUCGGGGCUUAACUCCGAAACUGCAUUUGAUACUGGCGUGCUUGAGGACUGGAGAGGAGACUGGAAUUCCAGGUGUAGCGGUGAAAUGCGUAGAUAUCUGGAGGAAUACCGGUGGCGAAGGCGGCAUCCUGGACCGGCAUUGACGCUGAGGAGCGAAAGCUAGGGGAGCAAACGGG
This 254-nucleotide ribosomal RNA is filed under the name uncultured bacterium. RNAcentral describes it as "partial 16S ribosomal RNA". It matches the Rfam family "Bacterial small subunit ribosomal RNA", at positions 524 to 776 of the family's 1533-position model. The record is from RNAcentral.